This 497-nucleotide ribosomal RNA is filed under the name uncultured bacterium. RNAcentral's name for it is "partial 16S ribosomal RNA". It matches the Rfam family "Bacterial small subunit ribosomal RNA", at positions 28 to 507 of the family's 1533-position model. The record is from RNAcentral.
GAUGAACGCUGGCGGCGUGCCUAAUACAUGCAAGUCGAGCGACCAGACGAGGAGCUUGCUCCUCUGACGUUAGCGGCGGACGGGUGAGUAACACGUGGAUAACCUACCUCUAAGACUGGGAUAACUUCGGGAAACCGGAGCUAAUACCGGAUAAUAUAUUGAACGGCAUGGUUCAAUAGUGAAAGACGGUUUUGCUGUCACUUAUAGAUGGAUCCGCGCCGCAUUAGCUAGUUGGUAAGGUAACGGCUUACCAAGGCAACGAUGCGUAGCCGACCUGAGAGGAUGAUCGGCCACACUGGAACUGAGACACGGUCCAGACUCCUACGGGAGGCAGCAGUAGGGAAUCUUCCGCAAUGGGCGAAAGCUUGACGGAGCAACGCCGCGUGAGUGAUGAAGGUCUUCGGAUCGUAAAACUCUGUUAUUAGGGAAGAACAAAUGUGUAAGUAACUAUGCACGUCUUGACGGUACCUAAUCAGAAAGCCACGGCUAACUACGUG